RNAcentral lists this ribosomal RNA (142 nucleotides) under Fusarium culmorum. RNAcentral's name for it is "5.8S ribosomal RNA". It matches the Rfam family "5.8S ribosomal RNA", at positions 1 to 138 of the family's 154-position model. Rfam says of the family: 5.8S ribosomal RNA (5.8S rRNA) is a component of the large subunit of the eukaryotic ribosome. It is transcribed by RNA polymerase I as part of the 45S precursor that also contains 18S and 28S rRNA. The record is from RNAcentral. Lineage: Eukaryota; Fungi; Ascomycota; Sordariomycetes; Hypocreales; Nectriaceae.
AACUUUCAACAACGGAUCCUCGUUGGUUCUGGCAUCGAUGAAGAACGCAGCAAAAUGCGAUCAACGUAAUGUGAAUUGCAGAAUUCAGUGAAUCAUCGAAUCUUUGAACGCACAUUGCGCCCGCCAGUAUUCUGGCGGGCAU